Molecule: ribosomal RNA, 253 nt
Filed under: uncultured bacterium
Lineage: Bacteria
Description: partial 16S ribosomal RNA
Rfam family: Bacterial small subunit ribosomal RNA
Source: RNAcentral
GACAGAGGGUGCAAACGUUGUUCGGAAUUACUGGGCGUAAAGCGCGUGUAGGCGGCCCUGCAAGUCGGAUGUGAAAUCCCACGGCUCAACCGUGGAAGUGCAUUCGAAACUGCAGGGCUAGAGUCCUGGAGAGGAAGGUGGAAUGCUUGGUGUAGAGGUGAAAUUCGUAGAUAUCAAGCGGAACACCGGUGGCGAAGGCGGCCUGCUGGACAGUGACUGACGCUGAGACGCGAAAGCGUGGGGAGCAAACAGG